AUAGAAGGAAACUAAAUAUUUUUGCUUCAGUAAAUAUGAGUACAAAUCAUCAUUUCAAUAGUCUUGUUCUGGGGAGAGACUGAUUAACCCAGUCUAAUAAAGCACUUCAACAGCUGUUUAAUUUUUAGCAUAGGACCUCCCAGGAUCAGAAUGCCAGCAUGUCUGAGCUACCUCUGAACUUCUCUAUUUUAUGCUUCUUGAAUUAUAUUGC
This 211-nucleotide long non-coding RNA is filed under the name Anser brachyrhynchus (Pink-footed goose). RNAcentral's name for it is "lncRNA (ENSABRG00000000107.1)". Lineage: Eukaryota; Metazoa; Chordata; Aves; Anseriformes; Anatidae. The record is from RNAcentral.